CAAUCUCAUAAUUAUCCUUAAAAUCAGCUCUUUAUUAUUUGGAAGGCUAGAAAAUUAUAAAAUCUUCCUUAUCUUUCCCUCCUGUUUCUCCUUUUAGCCAGUAUGUAUAUUUUGCCAUCAUUGGCAGAGUUACCGUCUUAAAUAAAUAAUAACAACAAUUAAGCAUUUCAAAUCAUAAGCCUAUUUAAAAAACAAUGCAAUCCUACACUUUGGUUGACUAUUUUCUACAAGAUUAAAAAUUCAGAUUCUUUUCCAUUGCAUUCAAAGUUCAUCUCAUCUUUCUAGCUCAUCACCUCUCCUUCUUCAUAUGUACAUACAACUCCAAGCUUCGCCAUAUUGAAAUUCUCACCAUAACAUGGGGGUACCUUUGCAGGUGUUAUUUUCUCUGCCUAGAAUGAUUUCCCCCCAUGUCUUCAUUCUACAUCUUUUAGUAAACAGCUUGAAUUUUAUCUUUUUAGGUGCAACCUGGAAAGUUACCCCACAGUUACCCCAGAGAGUUACCAAAACCAACGAAAUCUCCAAUUCCUUGUGUGGCAACAUAUCCAUUUUCCUGUCACCCUGUCUUGACAAUCUAGUCCUUUAGAACAAAGAAUUUAUCCUACUCAUUUCCGUAAUGCCCAGUGCCUAGUAGAGAGUCUGGAUCAUAGGAAGUAGUAAAUGCCAAAUUGAUAAAUAUUUUUAUACAUACAUGCUUUACAUUAAUCACUGAAAAUUAAUGAUGAGAAUUCACAUAGGAAAAGAAACUCUCCACUAUUUUCUUUUCAGUAUGUCUCCCAUGUUACAAAGAUUACUUUUACAAAUUAGGUUGACAGGAGUUCCUUUCGUGGCACAGCAGAAACAAUCCUACUAGGAACCAUGAGGUUGUGGGUUUGAUCCCUGGCCUCACUUAGUGGGUUAAGGAUCUGGCAUUGCUGUGAGCUGUGGUAUAGGCCCACAGAUGUGGCUUGAAUCCUGCAUUGCUGUGUCUGUGGUGUAGGCCGGUAGCUGUAGCUCUGAUUAGACCUCUAGACCGGAAACCUCCAUAUGCUGUGGGUAUGGCCCUAAAAAGCAAAAAAAAAAAAAACCCAAAAAACAAAAAAAACCAACAACCAAAACCAAAAAAACAAAUUAGGUAAAUAGGUUAUAAAGACAGUAGAUUUUUAAGCCACUUUAUGAACUGUAUUUAUGGAAUAUAUUUGGGGCAGUUAACAAGAUUGCUUGAUAACUAAUACAUAACUAAUCAAUUAUAUUUUAAUAUAAUAUCUUUUUUGGUCAUACAUGUUCAUAUUUUUCAUUCUACCUAAUAUAUAUAUAUAUAUAUAUAUAUAUUAAGAAUAUGACUCACCAUUAAACGUACUCACAAGAGCUAUAAUGGCCACUUUUAUUAAAAUAAACAUUUUAGUAAUAAAAUGACUUCAUAUAUACAGAAGUCAAUAAAUAUUUUAAAUGGUUCACGCUUUCAUGUAUUAAAUUUAUUGUAUAUUGAAAACAUAUAAGAAACGAAACUGCUUUUCAGGUACCUAGAUCUGACUAUAUUUUCUUGUCAUAUUAUCUGAAAAUGUACAAAUCAAAAUUUUAAUUUUUUUGACAAGAUCUAUAUAUGUGGAAGUUUUCUUAAAUUCAUUUUAAACACUCUGUCAUGGCAGUGAUAUCAAAACUUAAAUCCAGUUCUGAAAUUUCUUUGUAUUAUGUUGAAAUCUUUAGAAGAAUAAAAACAAAAGUGAUCUUAGUAAAACAGAAGGUACCUAUGUCAUACCUACCCAUUGUCAAUAUACAACAGCAACUACAAACAUUUCGUUAGCUGCUGGAUCAGAAGAAUGACAGAGUUAGCUAUACAUGGCAUUGUCGCCUUAUGUAUAUUUAUGCUUUUCAUGAAAAAAAACCAUUUUCAAUUCACAGCGAAGGAGCCUGAAGUAUUCAUUACUGCAGAGGACAAGUGUUACUCUCAGUCUCCCACUGUAAACCUCUUCCAUCUUUGUUGCCACAUGCACGCAUUUGUUGUACUACCGUAGAAGAAAUAACACACACAACUCUCUGCAGCUGUCAAUUUUUGUUUAAACUUUUGACAAAAGCAAGUUCUUUGCAAGCAGUCAUUCAUUUAAGAAGAUUAGCAUUCAUCACUGAUCACUUAGGCAUUCUUAACUCAGAAAUGUUUUUACGCUAACCUGUGAUUCUGUAAGCAUACUAAUAGGAUUUGAGUAUUAGUAUUUUCCUAAUUGCUUUCUGAGUACCUUAAGGGAACCUGUUACGUUGAUGUUGAUUUUGCCUUAGACACUUCUAAAUAAUGUGCACAGAUCUGACAACUAAAUUUUGCUUAUAUCAAAGUAGAAAUCACAGAGAGAAAAAGGGAACCUAAUAUUUUCCAUUAACAUCUUUCAUAAGGCAUCAACAGCAAAGUGAAAUUAAAGUGAACAUAACAUGAAAAUUAAAAUGAGAGACUCUCAAACAGGGGUGAUCAAGGUUUCCAGGAAAGUAAUCCUUCUUAUAUUACUUCCUUUACCAUUUCCUUCUCUAAUCAUAUUGAAUAUGACCAAGAGCCUUUUUGCCAUGUUUCCAAAGGGUAGAACGAAGUAUAGCAAUAAGUGAAAAGAAAUAAUUAACUUUCCCUAUCCCAUAUCCUGGAUAUAAAAAAAACUAAAGUCUGAGACCAUAUGUAUUAGAAUAUCCAAGAGUUGGUAAACACAAAUAUACAAAUAAAUAUAAGUUGGUGACCACUUUUAACAAAUAUAACUUUGUCUCUGAACUUCAUGUUUAUAAAAUGACAUACAGUACUCAGAGCUCUUUUUUAUCAGGCAUUCAAAAGCCAAAGAUAAAAACUGAGGUUAUAUGAUAUCACACACAUCACACAUGCAGGUUAUUGUGCUAAAAAUACUUUUAGGGCAAUAUUUUAAUAUUAUGAUAAAAACAUUAACAUAAAAUAAGAAAUGUAUUUUAGGAAGUGUAGACAUUGAAAUUUGGACUAAACCUAGCCAUUGAAGUGGGUGUGUCUCUGUGUUCUUCAUCAUGUAUUUACAUCUGCUUUCAUCGGCUUGAGAUUUAAUACAGUUUAAUAAUGAGAUAGGGCCAAAAUAAUAAAUGAUUAACCAGAGCCACAUUUCUUGCUCAGCCUAAGAAAAUUUCUGAAAGUCCAUUAAAAAUAACUAUUAGCACUUCAAUUGUGUGUUUGUGAUUCUAAAGACCUCUGAGAGCUAAAAGCCAAUAAAUGGUUUCAGAAGACUCAGUGUGCAUGGAAAAAGGCAGAGCCGGCUCUUCGUAAGAUGUAGAAAAUAAAGAGGAGGACAGAAAGAAUGGAUCAGGUGUGAUGAGUGAAGAAGACAGAGUAUCGAUUUUGAGUUUUGAUAUAUAUGAUGAGAACCAUCUGAAGUUCUUGAGCAAGGGAGGGACAUGUUCAAUAAAGAAUUCAACAAAUACGACUCUGAAGGCUGCAAUGGGUUUUACAGAAGGGAAAAAGAUGAAAGAGUAAGCAAACUGUCUUAGCAGUCUAAUAACAUGGAACAUAAAGACUGUCACUUACAUCUUUCAACAUCCUAACCUAGGAGUUCCCUUGGUGGCGCAGUGGUUAACGAAUCUAACUAGGAACCAUGAGGUUGCGGGUUCAAUCCCUGGCCUCGCUCAGUGGGUUGAGGAUCCGGCGUUGCCAUGAGCUGUGGUGUAUGUCACAGACACUGCUCGGAUCCUGCAUUGCUGUGGCUGUGGCAUAGGACGGCAGCUGUAGCUCCAGUUGGACCCCUAGCCUGAUUUCAGUCUGCAGGUCAGAAUCCACAGUUUGUGUGUGUGUGCAUCUUCACAGAAGCAUGUGAAUUUCCUACUUUACAUUUAGAAGUUCAAAUUCGAAGACCUAGCUAGCAUUGCCAUGUUUUUAUAUGCCACAUUGUCUUGGUUUUCACGUGGAGCAUGCCUUUUCCAUUUUGCCACAGUCCCCACUAUUUUACAUCAUUGCCCUGACUGAGCUCC
RNAcentral lists this long non-coding RNA (3933 nucleotides) under Sus scrofa (pig). RNAcentral describes it as "lncRNA (ENSSSCG00050055736.1)". Lineage: Eukaryota; Metazoa; Chordata; Mammalia; Artiodactyla; Suidae. The record is from RNAcentral.